RNAcentral lists this unclassified non-coding RNA (190 nucleotides) under fungal sp. Its description in RNAcentral is "partial internal transcribed spacer region". The stretch from base 1 to 46 matches the Rfam family "Eukaryotic small subunit ribosomal RNA", at positions 1786 to 1831 of the family's 1831-position model. Lineage: Eukaryota; Fungi. The record is from RNAcentral.
AAGUCGUAACAAGGUUUCCGUAGGUGAACCUGCGGAAGGAUCAUCAUUGUAGGAGUGAGGUCCCUUUUUUUUGAGGCCUUAACAACCUUUUUAGAGUCCCAGCAAACAGACAGCAAGGGGGAGCAAUUGGCUGAGAUAGGGAGCGAGGGAAACAAGAAACAACUUUCAACAACGGAUCUCUUGGCUCUCA